UGCAUAUAAAAAUAAACGGAGGUUGUAUAUUAUAAAUUUUCGUUUUCUGAAGUUCUAACCCACUCCCCGGAAAAAAAGAAAAUUCUAACCCACACAUUUCCAUGUUCUUCGUCCCUCCCUCUCUACAUUCUCUCUCUCUGGAUCAAAAUCUGCUCAAAAUGCUAAGAAAAUAUGGUGAGAGGAAGAAGAUGAGUUGUUCAAUUCACCAAUAAUUCUACUGCUCAUACUCGCAACUUUCCAAAUCCUCCUGGUUUCACUCGCGCUUAUCAAGGUCUGGUUUUUAUUUUCUAUUUUUUUUGUUCUUUUUUUUUUUCCAUCAAAAGAAGGAUGUUGAAGCUAAUUGGAAAUCUUAGGUAAAAUCUACUAGUAAUUUCUUUUUCUAGAUUUGGGAUUUAGGGUUUAUGUUUUUUUGGUAAUUUAUUGCUCUAUUGUGGACUUUAUUUUUAGGGUUUUGAUCUGUAAUUUAAUUCCGAAUGGGUAUUUUGUUAUUUCAUUCAUUUAAGUAAAAUAGGAAUGAAUUCUAUAAAAUUGACAAGCAAUUGGUUUAUUGAUUUUUUUUUUUUUUUUUCCUUUCCUUAUAGAUUUAUCUCGGUUUUUCCUUUUAACAAAAUUUUCGCUGAUUUUUUAUUUUGUUGUUGACGUUUGCAAGUAUGGAUGGCUUAUGUAUUCAGAGUGUUUCUUCACAAGGAGAGUGGAGAUUCUAAGGCCUUGUUGAAUAAUGCAACAGAUGCCAUGAACGAGUCUCUUGCUCAUGAGAUCUUAACCUUUUUAACGGAACUUCAGGAUAGAAUAAUGGAUUUUGAGGAAUUAUUCUGUGCAGCCGCCGAGCUUGGACUGGGGCCCAACUUAUAUACCGGUUCAUGCAGUCCUUCAUGACUGGAUUCGGCAUACUGAUGGGAAGCUUUUGUGCUGAAUGAGAAACCUGUGAUUGGCUGGACAGCAGAGUUGAGUGUAAUGCUCAUAAGGAGUCAAAAGCAGUACCAAAGCCUGUUGCUGUGAAAGGAACAUUUGUUGAAAAUAUUGGGCCAAGGAUGAACUUGAGUACUCCUUUUAGUUUAAUUUGUUUAGAUUUUCUUAAGUAAAUAUUUAUUUUAAUUGUUUUUAUGUAAAGUUGUACUCAUAUUUGUUUAUAUUUUUGUUUUUUCAUUUUUUUCUUUAAAUUUAUGUAAUUUUUUGUUUUCAAAUUUGUAAGUUUAGAAACUUGCUAAAAGAAGAUGUAAUACAUGCAAUUUAAUUUUGAGCAUUUAUAAAAUACUUUUUGUAUAUCACUUGUUCC
Long non-coding RNA from Chenopodium quinoa (quinoa), 1276 nucleotides. RefSeq lists it as uncharacterized. The record is from RefSeq and is a predicted model, not a curated record. The transcript is spliced from 6 exons. NCBI's taxonomy places the organism in Eukaryota, Viridiplantae, Streptophyta, Magnoliopsida, Caryophyllales, Amaranthaceae.